Molecule: long non-coding RNA, 1803 nt
Organism: Cyanistes caeruleus (blue tit)
Lineage: Eukaryota; Metazoa; Chordata; Aves; Passeriformes; Paridae
Source: Ensembl
AUUUCAUUGGCAUUUUUUUGAAGAUUUCUAUUUGUCCAUGCAUACAUUUGACUAUACAUUGACUAUACUUACUUAUACAGUAAGUAAAGCCAUACCUACAGCUUGUGUCCAAGUCCUGAUCAGUUCUCUAAUGCAUCUGCAGUCUAAGAAAGCUCCAGAGACCAAUCUUUUGGACAUAAAAUGGAGUUGUAAGAUUAGAAGCCUUCUACUCUGAGUGUUUGAUAUUCCUGGGGGACAAAGCAUCCUGAAUUUUAGACCACUUGUGCAUUUUAUUUAGUGAUUCUUAAUGCUGAAGGAUUAAUAGGCCAUCCCCAAAAGAACAAUUGAACCUGAUUCACCCUUCCUGUCUGAGAACAGCUUAAUGUCUGGAAAUCUUCAAUUUUCUCUUGUACAUCUGCUGGCUGCUUGGCUUAUAUAUCCUUAUGUAGCCUUUCUGCUUUAGAUAUCCUUACACAUCCUUUCUGCCUCGUGCUACAGUCUCACCUAUAAGGAUGCAGAAAGAUCUCUCAUGUGGGUUGCUGCUGUUCAAAUAAGCCACGAUUUUGUGGACAGAACAUCUUUCCUAAGGCCUGAGUUAUUCCUUUAUAUGGAGCUACUGCACACUGGAAUCAGCUGCUGUCAGCAAAAACAGCCUAUCUGAAAACCUACAAAGCUCCACAAGCCUUAACAGCUUAACAGACCACUACAGAACAGAGGUGUGAAGUUUACUGAAGUCCAAUUGAUUAAAGUCACAUGCCAGUCUUAGCUGGAAAGCAAAGAAAAGAGAUUCAAACAAUUUCAGAGGAUGUAACUAAACCACAUGUGGUUUACCAUUGAUCUUUACCAUAAAUCAGAAGAAUGAUGAAAACUGUGGAAAAAGAAAUAUUUUGGAACAGGCUGAAACACAGACACUGGGAAAUGAGGAAAAGGUGGAGCGUUCUCCCCUACUCAAAGCUGCAUCAGGUUUUUGAUGAUAAUUCAUCUACCACUGAUCAAUUUUUUGAAAAAAAUUGUCCAUCAAAGACCAAGCAUGUUUUUUUUUAAACAUAAGAUGUAUCCAAUUCUUAGGAAUACAGUGCACAAAAAAAUCUUCAGUACAAUAUAACUUCUCCAUAAAUAAUUUUACUGUAUGAAAUCAGAGCUUCUUAUUAUAUUUGGUCCUAUUCGUUUUGAUGUGCUGUGAUUUUCCUGCCGCAUGCUGUAGGUCAUGCUGUGGGAUUAGUAAUACAGCCAUUCUGCUACUGACUAGUAACUGACAGAAGCUGUUUUCAUAACCUUUCGUGAAGAUUGUGACAUCUAUAUUUUUAUUUCUGUUUUCCAGCUUAUCUUGACUUUUCAAAAUACUUGCAAGCUCCUUAUCAGUAGAGGUUCAAAACUUGUAGUAAGGAAUAAGUUCAUUUUUUUAGCUAGCAUGCUAUCAGUUCAGGAAAAGUCACUUAAAAACAUGAGCAAAAAAGUCUUAAUAUAUUUUAAUUGUAACCUUGAAAGAAAAAGGAACAUCAUCUGAAAUGAUCAAGACUAAUUAUUCAGGACUGUAGAGAUCAUUAGCAAAACUUCAGAGACAAGUUAGAUGAACUAGAUAAGCCUGACUGCUGGAUGGACUUCAGAAGAUCAUUGAGGGCAAGGUGCUUUGGCAGGCUGACCUUCAUCUGAAACACACAUGUACAUGUGCACUCACCAAACUGUGAAAUGUUUUGUACAGCAAUAACAUCCCAGUCUAUUUUGCUGUUCCUAAAUCAGAUCAUUGGACUUCACAGAGGAAAGUUUUCUUUAUGCUUUAACAAAACAAAUAAACAAAAAGUGUAGAUUAUUUUGUCUUGAUGU